GCCCGGGUGGCGGAACGGUAGACGCGAAGGACUCAAAAUCCUUUGUCCGUAGGGGCGUGUGGGUUCGAAUCCCACCCCGGGUA
RNAcentral lists this transfer RNA (83 nucleotides) under Baekduia soli. RNAcentral describes it as "Rubrobacterineae bacterium BR7-21 tRNA". It matches the Rfam family "tRNA". Rfam says of the family: Transfer RNA (tRNA) molecules are approximately 80 nucleotides in length. Their secondary structure includes four short double-helical elements and three loops (D, anti-codon, and T loops). Further hydrogen bonds mediate the characteristic L-shaped molecular structure. tRNAs have two regions of fundamental functional importance: the anti-codon, which is responsible for specific mRNA codon recognition, and the 3' end, to which the tRNAs corresponding amino acid is attached (by aminoacyl-tRNA synthetases). tRNAs cope with the degeneracy of the genetic code in two manners: having more than one tRNA (with a specific anti-codon) for a particular amino acid; and 'wobble' base-pairing, i.e. permitting non-standard base-pairing at the 3rd anti-codon position. Lineage: Bacteria; Bacillati; Actinomycetota; Thermoleophilia; Solirubrobacterales; Baekduiaceae. The record is from Rfam by way of RNAcentral.